This 188-nucleotide RNase P RNA is filed under the name Bacteroidota bacterium. Its description in RNAcentral is "Bacteroidetes bacterium (activated sludge metagenome) partial RNase P RNA component class A". It matches the Rfam family "Bacterial RNase P class A", at positions 1 to 196 of the family's 367-position model. Rfam says of the family: Ribonuclease P (RNase P) is a ubiquitous endoribonuclease, found in archaea, bacteria and eukarya as well as chloroplasts and mitochondria. Its best characterised activity is the generation of mature 5'-ends of tRNAs by cleaving the 5'-leader elements of precursor-tRNAs. The record is from RNAcentral. Lineage: Bacteria; Pseudomonadati; Bacteroidota.
AGUGGUAAUGACUUCAUCGCCUUCGGAAAUUCCGGGGCAGGAAAGUCCGGACAGCGCAGGGCAUUCUGCUUCCUAACGGGAAGGGGUCUCUUAGGGGAUUACAGCAAGUGCAACAGAAAGUAUACCGCCCCUUAUGGGGUAAGGGUGAAAUGGUGGGGUAAGAGCCCACCGGUCCUGGUGGUGACAUC